Molecule: long non-coding RNA, 1109 nt
Organism: Manis javanica (Malayan pangolin)
Lineage: Eukaryota; Metazoa; Chordata; Mammalia; Pholidota; Manidae
Source: RefSeq, a predicted model, not a curated record
GAAAUGGCAGAGGCCAAAGAUGCAGUACUGGAUGAGCCCCUAAUUUGGAGUCGGGAGAAGAUGGACCCAAGGAAGGCACCAGAAGAAGUUCCAGUCACAUUCUAUGACAAAGUACCAAAAGAAACCCAGGCCAUCAUGUUAUCAGAAUGUUUGAAGAAAAGGAAUGUGGGGUAAUGGUAGAGGGGUAAAAAACAAGAAAAGUUUCUGAUGCAGGCUACAUGUCUGUGGUGUCGGGACUCUGCUCCACAUUAUCCUCGCUCUGGGACUUGAACUGAUGGAGGCACCAUCGUGGGAAACCAUAGCCAGAUGUGAUGGCAAACAAGGGGAGAAUCACACACUGGCUCUCAGAUGCUUCUGCCUGGAAGUAGCUUGUUCUGAAAAUUAGAAUGUUUUCAAAUCAAGACAUUUGCAAGACUAAAAAUUUUGCUCCUCAGUUCUUGGUGUUCCUCCCAAAGCAACACAGGAUAAUCCCGAAAAUACCUGAAGACAGCUAUCAUUUCUUCAGACACUCCCUUAUCUUAAGAAUGUACGAUUGAUUGCUUGUAAAUGUCUUUAAAACGUAGUACCUAGAAAUGAGGGCAAUACUUCAAAUGUGCUCUGGCUAGAAAUGUCUGUUUUGAAAUCUGACUCCCUUUGAUAUGAAAUCUACAUCUGUUAAUUGAACAAAGACUGCUGUGUUUUUAAAAAGCUAUAUCCUGAUUGGUUAACACUGAGCUUAAAGUCAACUACUAAUUUUUUCACAUGAAUUGUUAACAAUCCCUGCCUUCUUCAUUCCAACAUCAUUCACUCCACGCCACUGAUUUUUUAAAAAUUUUUUGCUUUUCUUCUUUUUAGCUAGACCUCCAAAUGUAUCAGAUCCUUCUACAGUUUCCUCUUUUUGGAUCAUCCCAACCUGCUUAGAUAAUUCUGAAUCUAACUCUGAAAUGCUACAGUUUGGCCUGUUCCUUCCUAUUUUAAGACUCCAUUAAUUCAACAAGCAUACCUCCUGUAAUAAGACACUGUCCUGUGGAUAUUCCUUGUGCUUGGGUGUUUACUAAUGACCCAACCAGCUCCAAGUUCACCUCACUAUACAAGUGUCUGGCCUACAUGUCUAAAUAUCAUCUACAGGA